UUAGAACUCUUCCUAACACAAGGGUUUCUUCUUGGACAUCCCACUGAGUUCACUGAAGCAAAAGUGACCAAAGGGACCAAGUGGAUCCUUGUGCUCACCCAUAUCCACGUCAUCAAAGUUAAAGCUGUUUAAUGGCUAAGCGGAGUAACGUCUGGUAAGAAAAACAUCAAAGAGAUUGAAGCAUCCAAAGAAGGAGGGAAAGGUGAUGGGAUGUCAUUUCCCUCAUUAGUUUACAAGAUUGUAACUUCUGUCCUGCUAGCAGACUCUCUCCUGGCUUUGAUGAAGCAAGCUGCCAUGUUGGAGAGGCCUACAUGACAAGGAACUGAAGGUUGCCUCCAGCCAACUCCAGCCAACAGCCAUCCAGGAAUUGAGGCUCUCAGUCCAACAGGCCUUGAGGAACUGCAUCCAGCCAGCAACUGUAGAAGUGAGCAAAGAAGUGUGUAUUUCCCCAGUCAAGCCUUCAGCUGAGACCCCAGCCCCAGCUGACACCUUAAUUGCAGCCUUGUGAGAGACCUUGGAGCAGAGAACCCAGAUUCUUCGGCGGGACCCACCCAGUUCCUGGACCCUGCCCUGGCCACUCCAGUGUCCACAAUCGCAAAACCCAUCCAUACACACACCUGCACUGACUGCUCACCUGUGAGAUACUCAGGAAUCAGCAACGUUUUCUAAAUGAAGGUAAGUUACGGUUUUCAGGAAAAUAUUCCUAUCUCUGGUCCUUUUCAGAGCUGCGAGUUCUCUCCUCCCUUCU
This 748-nucleotide long non-coding RNA is filed under the name Equus caballus (horse). Its description in RNAcentral is "lncRNA (ENSECAG00000029009.3)". The record is from RNAcentral. Lineage: Eukaryota; Metazoa; Chordata; Mammalia; Perissodactyla; Equidae.